This is a long non-coding RNA of Chenopodium quinoa (quinoa), 208 nucleotides long. RefSeq lists it as uncharacterized. The transcript is spliced from 3 exons. The record is from RefSeq and is a predicted model, not a curated record. Lineage: Eukaryota; Viridiplantae; Streptophyta; Magnoliopsida; Caryophyllales; Amaranthaceae.
UGGAAAAUGUGAGAGUAAAGCCAUGCUUAAGGGAGCCAUAUCCUAAUAAAACCCAAGGUCACAACAAGUGAUGACCAAAACAUCUCCAAUCACAACUCAACUCCACAAAUGUUCACCAAACAAUCAUAUAUAUAACACAAUCCCAACACUUACAUAUUCACUCACAAAAUAUGAUAAUAUGGAAUAGAGUGAAUUAAAACAAACUUUG